GAAAUGCGAUAAUUAAUGUAAAUUGCAGAAUUCAGUGAAUCAUCGAGUCUUUGAACGCACAUUGCGCCCCCUGGUAUUCCGGGGGGCAUGCCUGUCCGAGCGUCAUUGCUGCCCUCAAGCACGGCUUGUGUGUUGGGCUUCCGUCCCUGGCAACGGGGACGGGCCCAAAAGGCAGUGGCGGCACCAUGUCUGGUCCUCGAGCGUAUGGGGCUUUGUCACCCGCUCCCGUAGGUCCAGCUGGCAGCUAGCCUCGCAACCAAUCUUUUUAACCAGGUUGACCUCGGAUCAGGUAGGGAUACCCGCUGAACUUAAGC
This 314-nucleotide unclassified non-coding RNA is filed under the name plant metagenome. RNAcentral describes it as "partial contains 5.8S ribosomal RNA, internal transcribed spacer 2, and large subunit ribosomal RNA". The stretch from base 1 to 105 matches the Rfam family "5.8S ribosomal RNA", at positions 50 to 154 of the family's 154-position model. The record is from RNAcentral.